AGUGGUUUACGAAACAAAAAGUUUUGAUAUCAAUUUAACAAGCGUCUCGACAGACUAUUCCGGUACAUACACCUGCACGGCACACAAUGGUAUAGGUGGGAUAACAUCAAAAAGUAUAUCACUUAUUGUAAAAGAAUCAAGAAAAGCUAUGGUUCACAGCAAUGUUUUGGGUCUGGCUAUAGGUAUACUUAUAACUGCGGUUGUGACCUCUGCCAUAGUCAUAUCUUUCAUUAUGUUUUAUAAAAGAAGAAGAGGUGCAUUGUUGGUGACCAGAACAGACGGGAAUGACAAUGAGUAUAAUGGAAGCAGAAACGACGGUAAGAAAAAGAACAAAGCAGUUAUUGUGAAGCUGUUUUUACCUUUAUGAAGGCUUUACAUUUUUUGUUUCAUGAAAGCAUUACCAUAUGUGUUUUAUUAAAGCAUAACUGUAACAAUAUGUAUGUCAUAUAUGUUGAAGCGUUACAAUGCACCUUAUAAAAGCAUAACCAAUGGAUCUGUCAAUUUUAUAAAUCAAUUACAAUAUGAAAGUGAUACACCUUGCGUUUGACAUAGUGUGUCACAGUAUUACACAGUGUUAUGUUCUUAAAUCAAGUCUCCUGAGCAUUGAACUCGCAUAAAUAACACCAUGUAUAUGAAAAUAUAACGGCAAUUGUUUUAUAAAGGAAAAGACAGAUAACAAUGUUAACAAUUUCUCUUCAACUUAAUAAGGUCAUAAUAUUAUAUUGAUGUAAAAUAUAUUUAGUGUUAGCACUAUCUCGUGCACAUUUCCCUUUAUUUAGGAGGAGUGUUAAAAAAGGAAUUUAUCAAUUUGCAAUAAAAUAUUUUAUGACGGAACACAUCUAAACAUUAAACGUUGACGUAAAAAAUGACAUUAAUUACAUUGCACUGAUUUUUCUCCGUUACUUUCAGCUUUAUAUAUUUGUUUUAUUUCUCUUAGUACGAAACAAAUCGAAUAAGCAAGCUCAUUAUAGGCUUCUUGGGAAUGUACAUUUCUAUUUUGAUCAUUUUUAUCACUAAGUUUUCGCUUACAUUUUAAAGAUUUGAAUAGUUCUGUAUUUGUCUCCACAAAUGUA
Molecule: long non-coding RNA, 1073 nt
Organism: Ruditapes philippinarum (Manila clam)
Lineage: Eukaryota; Metazoa; Mollusca; Bivalvia; Venerida; Veneridae
Exons: 3
Source: RefSeq, a predicted model, not a curated record